Molecule: transfer RNA, 110 nt
Filed under: Tilletia horrida
Lineage: Eukaryota; Fungi; Basidiomycota; Exobasidiomycetes; Tilletiales; Tilletiaceae
Description: tRNA-Gly
Rfam family: tRNA
About the family: Transfer RNA (tRNA) molecules are approximately 80 nucleotides in length. Their secondary structure includes four short double-helical elements and three loops (D, anti-codon, and T loops).
Source: RNAcentral
GCAACAGUAGUAUAGUGGUUAGUAUCUUCGCUUCCCAUCCCUUGUGGUUUGGCGCAGACUUCCUUGCGAAAGCAUCGCGAUGGACCCGAGUUCGAAUCUCGGCUGUUGCA